AUAAUUCAUGGAGAAAUUUCUUAAACAGUUGAAGGCACUCGAGUGUGAACAUUACUACAGUUAAAUGAAACACGUCCCUAUGGAAACAUCGAUCAAUCAAAUUCCUAACGAAGGUAAUCAAUUCAUCCCACCAAUUCUCCACUCCCUGGUUCAAUAUUCUCCUACUAGUGUCACUCUUCUCAAAUGAAACAUUAUUCAGAGCUAAACACACUUAACAAGUGAACAAGUACUAUUUCAUUGUGAUGGCAAUUUCACAAUUUAUACUAUUUCA
This 271-nucleotide long non-coding RNA is filed under the name Olea europaea (common olive). RNAcentral's name for it is "long non-coding RNA (OEUR_LNC005151)". Lineage: Eukaryota; Viridiplantae; Streptophyta; Magnoliopsida; Lamiales; Oleaceae. The record is from RNAcentral.